CCAGUUGGCCGGACGGCCGCGGGCCGGUGCGCAAGCGCCGGCGCGAGGAAAGUCCGGGCUCCAUCGAAAUGCGGUGCCGGCUAACGGCCGGCGGGGGCGACCCCAGGGAAAGUGCCACAGAAAGCAAACCGCCCGGCCUCGGCCGCGGCAAGGGUGAAAGGGUGCGGUAAGAGCGCACCGGGGGACUGGUAACAGGACCCGCAUGGUAAACCCCACCGGGAGCAAAACCAAAUAGGGACGACGCGAGGGCAACCUCAGGCCGGUUUCGAGGCUGGUCGUCCGGGUUGGUUGCUCGAGCUGCGGCGCAAGCCGUCGCCUAGAGGAAUGGCCGUCACGUCCGCGUCGCGAGGCGCGGGCCAUACAGAACCCGGCUUACAGGCCAACUGGCAAC
This 391-nucleotide RNase P RNA is filed under the name Devosia enhydra. Its description in RNAcentral is "Prosthecomicrobium enhydrum Bacterial RNase P class A". It matches the Rfam family "Bacterial RNase P class A". From Rfam's summary of the family: Ribonuclease P (RNase P) is a ubiquitous endoribonuclease, found in archaea, bacteria and eukarya as well as chloroplasts and mitochondria. Its best characterised activity is the generation of mature 5'-ends of tRNAs by cleaving the 5'-leader elements of precursor-tRNAs. Lineage: Bacteria; Pseudomonadati; Pseudomonadota; Alphaproteobacteria; Hyphomicrobiales; Devosiaceae. The record is from Rfam by way of RNAcentral.